Molecule: ribosomal RNA, 407 nt
Filed under: uncultured bacterium
Lineage: Bacteria
Description: bacterial SSU rRNA
Rfam family: Bacterial small subunit ribosomal RNA
Source: RNAcentral
GGGGAAUAUUGCACAAUGGGCGCAAGCCUGAUGCAGCGACGCCGCGUGAGGGAUGGAGGCCUUCGGGUUGUAAACCUCUUUUGUUUGGGAGCAAGCCUUCGGGUGAGUGUACCUUUCGAAUAAGCGCCGGCUAACUACGUGCCAGCAGCCGCGGUAAUACGUAGGGCGCAAGCGUUAUCCGGAUUUAUUGGGCGUAAAGGGCUCGUAGGCGGCUCGUCGCGUCCGGUGUGAAAGUCCAUCGCUUAACGGUGGAUCUGCGCCGGGUACGGGCGGGCUGGAGUGCGGUAGGGGAGACUGGAAUUCCCGGUGUAACGGUGGAAUGUGUAGAUAUCGGGAAGAACACCGAUGGCGAAGGCAGGUCUCUGGGCCGUCACUGACGCUGAGGAGCGAAAGCGUGGGGAGCGAAC